RNAcentral lists this ribosomal RNA (1440 nucleotides) under Triticum aestivum (bread wheat). RNAcentral describes it as "partial small subunit ribosomal RNA". Lineage: Eukaryota; Viridiplantae; Streptophyta; Magnoliopsida; Poales; Poaceae. The record is from RNAcentral.
AUGGGCCUGGACUCGAGCCGCAUCUCCAGCACGGACAAGAACCUGGUCGCCCUUUACGCCGGCGGGUACCGCCCUGGCUCUAGUUUGCGGGGAGGCUAUCUCAUCUACGACGCCAGAGAAGACUCCCUCUCCGUCAUCCCCCGUCUCCCCGACAACGACAACGACUUGCAUGGAGUCAUGGGGCACCAGUCGGCCGUCGUCAUGUGCGACGCCCAAGGGGAGGGCUACCUUCUUGCCGAGCUCGUCAUGCCAGGAUUCUCCCAGGCCGGGGUCUGGCUGUGGAAGUCGUCCGCCCCAGAACCAGAAUGGGUCUUGCUGUCCGGGAGCCAUCCCCUUCCAUCCAGCAGAUUCUUCGUUGAUUUGUGCUUCUCUUACCGGGGCUCUAUCCUUUGCUGGGUGGAUCUGCUCAAAGGCAUGUUGCUCUGUGAUCUCAACCAAGACUGCUACAACAAGUUCAGCUUUAUCAAGUUACCACAAGAAUGUCCAGCCUAUGAUAUAAACCCCGAGUAUCCAGACAUCGUCCGCCCAGACGAGUUCCGUUCCAUGGCCUGUGUUUGUGCUGCACACAUCAAGCUCAUCGCCUUGGAUGAAUAUGGAUUGGAACUCAUCCUCUGGACGCUGUCGCCUGACCUCUCGGGCUGGAUCAUGACCUGCAAGUACAAUGUCGAAAAAAUCUGGGCAAACGUGAGCUACCAGUCUGCUGGUUUGAGACAGCUUGCUCCGUCGCUCCCUGUCCUCAGCAUCCAUCAAGACGGCGUCGUCUACUUAGUCGUAAAUGACGAAAGCAUCGUCGACCGUCGACUGGUGCACAAAGGCCAGUAUUUGCUUCGUGUCGACAUGGAGAAGGACGAGGUCCACGUCUCUCCACAGCCUACAAGGCACCUACCAGCAGCUUACCUCAUCAACCCGGCCAUGGAGGUUACCAUAUCUGUAGUUGCAAGUGAACUAGUGAGCCUAUUCGUCUCCUUCCUGAUGAGCAAGUACCACUCCUCCAGCCAUGCACAAUCAGAGGAGAAGGUGGUGGACAGGUUGCAGCAUCUCCUGAUAAGAGUUGGCACCAUGGUCAAGGAGGCGGACAGUCAAUACAUAAGCAACUCCAGGAUGAUGAUGCAGCUCAAGAUGCUCCCGGAGGACACCGUCUGCUUGAUACCUCGAGCGGAGAAAGACGACAAGGCCAUGCGCCUCAAGCCACAUGGUGCUUUGGAGAGCUUAAAAAUUGCUGUUGCUAACAACCAACACGCUGAAAAGAAAAGGCUCUUGAGCUUCUUGCUGGAGCAGAACGAUCCUCCAAGUGAUCAUGUAUUGGACGUUCUUCCGCUCAUAGGUGGUGUCGCAGUUGGGAAGAAAACUUCGGUUGCUCAUGUUUGUGGUGAUGAUCUGAAUAAGAACCUGAUCAAGGACUGGGGAUCUAUGUUGUUCCAUCUCUCUGCGAGACUGUAG